GUCUCGGUCCCCAUUACAGCGCGUGGGCGGCGAUCCAGCACGAGGAGGCGCAGAUCCACAGGCCGAAGGAGAUGCAGACGCGGUGGCGAGCGAAGCAGCGGUCCAGGGAGAGCCUCAGCUGCACUACAAAAAAUGGUCCAGAGAAAAUGUGAAGAGGAAGGUCACCUCCUGGAGGGAGACACAGAGCUCUCUUCUCUCCUCCACCACGUGCCAGGAGCAUCUGUCUUCGGGCUUUAACUACGAUCCCUGUCUCUGCCGUGCCUCCCGAAUGAGCUAUCUGCAGGUCAGAGAUCCCAAACUUUAGACACAUAUGUAACUGCCUAUGUGACAUUUUCACUUGCAUGUCUUAACUGAACAGGUCUAAAACCAAACUGGCAAUUUUCCCUCUCAAAGCUGCUCCUUGGUGGUCUUCCCUACACAGGUGAUUGGGCAUCCUGGUCCAAGGGGUGGAGGUGUGGGGACAGCCGGGCAACUGCCCUUUUCCUCCGUUAGGGCAUCUCUCAAACGCAAUGAGUGUUGUCUUUCUACCAGGCUGUGAGCGCCUUGCAGCCAGGGUUGUUUAGUUCUUAUCUGUCUCCCCAGCUCAGUGCCUGGCACAUAGUAAGGAAAAUAUUUACUGAUGAAAAUAUUGGUUUUUAACAGGUUGUGAAAAUGUGAUAUGUAUGUUAGAGCAUAUUGAAAAUGCUUUGAUGAUGUAUAACAUUGGGUGUGUGGGUAUGUUCGGGAAGGCUUUCAAGAAAUGCAUGAACUGGGCUUUGGAGGGUAAGUUUGCUUUUGGUGAUGAGGCCAUGGCACCAGUCCUGCAAAGGUGCUCCUGGAGGUGGGAAGAGCGCGGCCUGGGGGUGCAGGCAAUAGCAGGGGUGCUGCAGUGCAGAUACGAGGUGGGCUAGAGACGCAGUCUCCGCCUGGUCUGUCGGAAGGGAACCAGGACUUCAUCCUGUCGGGGGAUGAUGCAUUCUAAUCAACUCCCUCCGGGCCAAUAGGACCCCCCCUCCCCCGCCAAUUCUCCCAGUACCUUCCAUAGGGCUCUCCACAUUCAGAAAGUGAAUCAGUUCCUUUAUCAGGCUCCUCUGAGGCCCAGAAACUAAUGUUUUUUGGCCAUGGUCCCGAGUUUGCCGGAAAGAAAAACUAACAAGAGUACUAUAACACACACCCUCCCUCCACAGCUCCUAAGCGUCUCCUGUUGGCAGAAGCUCCACGGGCAUUGUCCUGAAGAAGGAAAGGGCCUCCGCGGGCUGGGCGGUCCUGCAGGAGCUGGCAGCCAAUCGGGCCAUAAAUCCCAGCUGCCUGGGGCAGGGAUGGCGUGGGUGGGGGUGGGGUGGGAGAGGGUGGUUGGAGAACAGACCUGCUGCUCACUCAACAGCUUUUCUCUCGUGAGAACACAUUGCCUCCUGCCAGUGUUCUCAUAAAGUGCAUUAUUCAGAGGAAGGGCUUGUGGCUACUCCUCAAACAAUAACACACACACACACACACACACACACACACACACACACACACACACACAAAGAGCUCUACUGUCAGCUUGAUUUACCCGCUAUAAAUACAGAGAAGUUAAUUCUAAGAGAAUGCAUUUUGAAAUACUGGCCUUUCCAAAUCUUCAUCAGUCCCAUUGUGGACAUGUUGGGGUGUCGUGACAGAAGCAGGUGGUAGGACUGCUGGGAUCUUGGGUUCUAUUUAAAACUCUUGUCAACACGCUGUAUGAUCUUGUGAAGAUUUCUUUACUUUUUCCCCCUCAAGUUCCUUAUUAAUAACAUCUGGUUGCCGAAAGUCACUUUAAGAUGCUCAGGAGCUGGGCAAGCGUUAAUCAAACUGACAGAUGUUGAAAUGUUACAGCAAGGAAAGUCCUUCUUUAAAGGGGCUUUAAAACAAAGCAGCUCACCUUUUAAAGAGCCAACUGUCAGGGUGGGUAUAGCUCAGUAGUAGAGUGCAUGCUUAGCAUGCAGGAGGUCCUGAGUUCAAUCCCCACUAUCUCUGUUAAAAAAAUAAGUAAAGAGCCAACUAAAUCGAAUUCAGUACUUGAAUAUUUGCAUUGAAAUAAUUAAAGAGAAAUGUAAGUUCUCACUGCAGUUUGCCAUUCGGAGAGAAACCAGCAUCCUGCCAAGUUCCUAUGUGCCAAUAUGGGAGGGAGCUGGAUAACCCCACUUCCCAAAAGCCAAAAAAGACAGGAGUUCUGCAUGGUCCUGUUAAUUGUAAUAACUGAUUCUACUGUCUUUCGGUACAAUUCUAUCCGGGCUUCUGAACGGCUCCUGGGCCCUUAACUGUCUACUCUUAUGACGCCUCAAGCCCUAAUUUUUUAUUUUGAAAAAUUUCAAAACCACAAAAGAGUGAAAGAAUACCCACCUAGGUUCACCAGGUGUUAACAUUUUGCAGAUUUGUUCUCUCUCACUCCACUCAGAACCAUUUGAAACUGCAGGUAUUUUACCCCAAAAUGCAUCAGCAUGUGUCUCCAAGGAUAUUCUCCAACAUAACACACUUUUAUUACGCUGAUAAAAUAUUCUUAUCUAAUGUGUAAUCCCAGGGUGGAGGAGGGGGAAUUGGAUGACAGUCGACAAAAAGUACAAGCUUCCAGAUGUAAGAUAGAUAAGUACUAGGGAUGUAAUGUACACAGGAUAAAUAUAAUUAACACUGUUUUAUCUUAUGUGUGAAAGUUGUUAUGAGAGUAAGUCCUAAGAAUUCUCAUCACAAGAAGUUUUUCUGUUUCUUUAAUUUUUUACCUGUAUGAGAUGAUAUUCAUUAAACUUACUGUGAUAAUCACUUCAA
This is a long non-coding RNA of Camelus dromedarius (Arabian camel), 2760 nucleotides long. RefSeq lists it as uncharacterized. The transcript is spliced from 2 exons. The record is from RefSeq and is a predicted model, not a curated record. Lineage: Eukaryota; Metazoa; Chordata; Mammalia; Artiodactyla; Camelidae.